This 253-nucleotide ribosomal RNA is filed under the name uncultured bacterium. RNAcentral's name for it is "partial 16S ribosomal RNA". It matches the Rfam family "Bacterial small subunit ribosomal RNA", at positions 524 to 776 of the family's 1533-position model. The record is from RNAcentral.
UACGAAGGGGGCUAGCGUUGCUCGGAAUCACUGGGCGUAAAGGGUGCGUAGGCGGGUUUUUAAGUCAGGGGUGAAAUCCUGGAGCUCAACUCCAGAACUGCCUUUGAUACUGAAGAUCUUGAGUCCGGGAGAGGUGAGUGGAACUGCGAGUGUAGAGGUGAAAUUCGUAGAUAUUCGCAAGAACACCAGUGGCGAAGGCGGCUCACUGGCCCGGUACUGACGCUGAUGUGCGAAAGCGUGGGGAGCAAACAGG